RNAcentral lists this ribosomal RNA (1463 nucleotides) under metagenome. RNAcentral's name for it is "bacterial SSU rRNA". It matches the Rfam family "Bacterial small subunit ribosomal RNA". The record is from RNAcentral.
AGAGUUUGAUCCUGGCUCAGGAUGAACGCUAGCGGGAGGCAUAAUACAUGCAAGUCGAACGAAUCCGCAAGGGUUAGUGGCGGACGGGUGCGUAACACGUACGUAACCUGCCUUUCAGUGGGGGAUACCGUUCCGAAAGGAACGUUAAUACCGCAUAUUACAGAGUGUUCGCAUGGGCGUUCUGUCAAAGCUUUAUGUGCUGAAAGAGGGGCGUGCGGCCGAUUAGGUAGUUGGUGGGGUAACGGCCUACCAAGCCGACGAUCGGUAAUUGGUCUUAGAGGAUGAUCAGUCACACCGGCACUGAGACACGGGCCGGACUCCUACGGGAGGCAGCAGUAGGGAAUAUUGGGCAAUGGGCGCAAGCCUGACCCAGCCAUCCCGCGUGAACGAAGAAGGUCCACAGGAUUGUAAAGUUCUUUUCUCCAAGGAUAAGGCCUCAUGGAUGGGGAUUGAAGGUACUGGAGGAAUAAGCGCCGGCUAACUGCGUGCCAGCAGCCGCGGUAAUACGUAGGGCGCAAGCGUUGUCCGGAUUUACUGGGUUUAAAGGGUGUGUAGGCGGUUUGAUAAGUCGGCGAUGAAAUGUCAGGGCUUAACCUUGGCGCUGUUGCCGAUACUGUUAGACUCGAGAGUGGAUGAGGGGGCUGGAAUGAGCGGUGUAGCGGUGAAAUGCGUAGAUAUCGCUCAGAACACCGAUUGCGAAGGCAGGUCCCUGGGCCACAUCUGACGCUGAGGCACGAAAGCGUGGGGAUCAAACAGGAUUAGAUACCCUGGUAGUCCACGCCCUAAACGAUGGAUACUAGAUAUCGGGCGCAAGUUCGGUGUCCAAGCAAAAGUGAUAAGUAUCCCACCUGGGAAGUACGCUCGCAAGGGUGAAACUCAAAGGAAUUGACGGGGGCCCGCACAAGCGGUGGAGCAUGUGGUUUAAUUCGAUGGUACGCGAGGAACCUUACCCGGGCUAGAAUGCGAGUGACGUUCUCGGAAACGGGAACUCCCUUCGGGGCACAAAGCAAGGUGCUGCAUGGCUGUCGUCAGCUCGUGUCGUGAGAUGUUGGGUUAAGUCCCGCAACGAGCGCAACCCUUGUCGUUAGUUGCCAGCGCGUAAUGGCGGGGACUCUAAUGAGACUGCCUUCGUAAGGGGCGAGGAAGGGGGGGACGACGUCAAGUCAUCAUGGCCCUUACGUCCGGGGCUACACACGUGCUACAAUGGCCAAUACAGGGGGCAGCAAGCCUGCGAAGGCAAGCAAAUCUCUAAAAGUUGGCCUCAGUUCGGAUAGGAGUCUGCAACUCGACUCCUUGAAGUUGGAAUCGCUAGUAAUCGCGCAUCAGCUACGGCGCGGUGAAUACGUUCCCGGGCCUUGUACACACCGCCCGUCAACCCAUGGAAGCUGAAGGCGCCUAAAGUCGGGGGAUCAGAUCCCUGCCUAAGGCGAAUUUGGUAACUAGGGCUAAGUCGUAACAAGGUA